GAUGAACGCUGGCGGCGUGCCUAAUACAUGCAAGUCGAGCGAACAGACGAGGAGCUUGCUCCUCUGACGUUAGCGGCGGACGGGUGAGUAACACGUGGAUAACCUACCUAUAAGACUGUGAUAACUUCGGGAAACCGGAGCUAAUACCGGAUAAUAUAUUGAACCGCAUGGUUCAAUAGUGAAAGACGGUUUUGCUGUCACUUAUAGAUGGAUCCGCGCCGCAUUAGCUAGUUGGUAAGGUAACGGCUUACCAAGGCAACGAUGCGUAGCCGACCUGAGAGGGUGAUCGGCCACACUGGAACUGAGACACGGUCCAGACUCCUACGGGAGGCAGCAGUAGGGAAUCUUCCGCAAUGGGCGAAAGCUUGACGGAGCAACGCCGCGUGAGUGAUGAAGGUCUUCGGAUCGUAAAACUCUGUUAUUAGGGAAGAACAAAUGUGUAAGUAACUAUGCACGUCUUGACGGUACCUAAUCAGAAAGCCACGGCUAACUACGUG
Molecule: ribosomal RNA, 497 nt
Filed under: uncultured bacterium
Lineage: Bacteria
Description: partial 16S ribosomal RNA
Rfam family: Bacterial small subunit ribosomal RNA
Source: RNAcentral